Molecule: ribosomal RNA, 460 nt
Filed under: uncultured bacterium
Lineage: Bacteria
Description: partial 16S ribosomal RNA
Rfam family: Bacterial small subunit ribosomal RNA
Source: RNAcentral
CCUACGGGUGGCAGCAGUGAGGAAUAUUGGUCAAUGGGCGCGAGCCUGAACCAGCCAAGUAGCGUGAAGGAUGACUGCCCUACGGGUUGUAAACUUCUUUUAUAAAGGAAUAAAGUGAGGCACGUGUGCCUAUUGGUAUGUACUUUAUUAAUAAGGAUCGGCUAACUCCGUGCCUGCAGCAGCGGUAAUACGGAGGUUCCGAGCGUUAUCCGGAUUUAUUGGGUUUAAAGGGAGCGUAGAUGGGUUGUUAAGUCAGUUGUGAAAGUUUGCGGCUCAACCGUAAAAUUGCAAUUGAUACUGGCAGUCUUGAGUACAGUUGAGGUAGGCGGAAUUCGUGGUGUAGCAGUGAAAUGCUUAGAUAUCACGAAGAACUCCGAUUGCGAAGGCAGCUUACUAAACUGCCACUGACAUUGAUGCUCGAAGGUGUGGGUAUCAAACAGGAUUAGAUACCCCAGUAGUC